Long non-coding RNA from Pygoscelis adeliae (Adelie penguin), 1762 nucleotides. RefSeq lists it as uncharacterized. The record is from RefSeq and is a predicted model, not a curated record. Lineage: Eukaryota; Metazoa; Chordata; Aves; Sphenisciformes; Spheniscidae. The transcript is spliced from 2 exons.
CAGUGCUAAAAAAGAGAAGUGUGACUCCCUCUGUCUUGAAGUCUGUUCGUGCGUCUGUGCUCUAAGGAUACCAGGCCCAUUGCUGAUACUACACAGCUACGUAACCAUGGUGCAGACUUCUGAGGAAAUUGCUGAGUUGUGGAAAAAAAAAAAAAAAAAGCUGUCAGAAUGUCUGAAGAGGAGAUUCGUGUGCGAUGAGAAAGCUGAAAUUGCAGAGAGGGCAAGACAAGGAAAAGCACCGCCAUGGGCAAGUAUAAAGUCGUAAAGAAAACCUAGAGUGGCAGAAGGUGGCAUGACUGCGGCUGUGUUCCGGGGACCUGCAGGAACUGCCCCUUCUCCUCCUGACUCUUGCCUGCCUGGCUAGCAAAGACUCUGCGUUUGUCUUCUAAGAAGUGUUCCUGUCCUGCUUCUUUUCAAGUCUGUGGGAAACAAAUAUAAAACACUGGGACUACAUCUUUGCUAGUGAAAUUUUUAGUAACUGGUAACAUUACUAAAGCCAAGCCAACAGUUAAGGAACAGUCCACAAUUAAGAGUGGGCUUGAAUUUUAUAGAAUAGGUACAGCUUGCAUUAAUUGUUGAGUUUGUCAUUGCAAAUAAAAAGAGUCAAAUUCCAGAGAAAGCAAAAAAGAGAAAGAUUUUUCAUUACUGGGAAGAAGAGCUAGAUGCAUGUACUUGAAGUUAAAAGUUCCAGAAUGCUAUACCACAUUUGAUCCAAAAGUGUGAAGAGGAAAGGAAAAUGGUGAUACAUCAAUGUUAGAAAAACACCCAAAAGUGACGAAGAAGAAGAAAGUGCAUUUAAGUGCUGCUCAAGAAAACAAGUAACUUUAGUUACAAUAGUAAUUACCAUGGCAUUGUAUUAUUAAUUACUACUUACCACUUUCUGACUAUUCUUUUGACUAUAAGCUGAACAAUUGCAGUGUCUCCCAGUAUUUGAAGCCAAGUCUCUCAACAGUAUGUAAGCAGAAGAAAACCAUCGUUAUCAGCUGGGUAGACAUUGCAUCAUUAGUCUGAAUACAGUUUAGAAAUCUAAAGUCUCUGUUAUCUGUUAAAUCUAAACCUUCAACUGGUGAAUAAACCUUUAUUAUAGAAUUCUGACUAAAGGGGGAAAACCCCUAAACUGCCUAAUUUAAAUUGUCCUUAGAAAUGCUCAAGAAGACUUUUAUUUGUCAUAUUCUAUGAAAUAAGAACCUAUCUUAAGCUGCAAUUCUGAAAGCUGGAACAUAGGUUACCAGAAGUCCACUGAACGAUGGACUUUCCAGAUGCAGCCCUGUAAUAUGGCCUCUCAGAUGGAAUCAGAACAAAAAACCGUAUAUAUAUAUGAAGUAUGAGACAGUUGUCCUAUUUAGUUGAUUUAAGCCAAGAAAAUCAUUCAACGCAGAAGGCUAACAGUCUCAGCCUUUCUGAACAAAAAGGUCCUAUACGAUACAGUAAGUAUGUAGGUAGUACGUAGUAGUUGGUUAGAUAUGCUGAACCUUACCAGAGGUUCAGCCCAAGCCUGAAGGAAUUUGUUUGAGUUUAGUCAUAUCCAACAUUGCAUACCAGCUUUAUAUGAUAUAACUUGCAGGCUGACCAGCCUGUAAGUUGAUUUCAGCGGCAAGUGAGGCUAUGGUUGGCAUAGUUAAUUAAAACAUAAAUAUUGUGAAGACUAACUGACAUUGUGUGAUUUAAGGCUCCUUAAAUAAAAUGGAACAAUAUUGUUUAUGAGGAACACGUUAACACUAGUCUUUCAUGGUUGUAUUGAUUAAAGUUUGUCUUUAUCUUG